RNAcentral lists this ribosomal RNA (435 nucleotides) under uncultured bacterium. RNAcentral describes it as "bacterial SSU rRNA". It matches the Rfam family "Bacterial small subunit ribosomal RNA", at positions 355 to 787 of the family's 1533-position model. The record is from RNAcentral.
UGAGGAAUAUUGGUCAAUGGGCGGGAGCCUGAACCCAGCCAAGCCGCGUGAGGGAGGAAGGCCCUAUGGGUCGUAAACCUCUUUUGUCAGGGAACAAAAGCGAGUAUGUAUACUAGUCUGAGUGUACCUGAAGAAAAAGCAUCGGCUAACUCCGUGCCAGCAGCCGCGGUAAUACGGAGGAUGCGAGCGUUAUCCGGAUUUAUUGGGUUUAAAGGGUGCGUAGGCGGCGGUGCAAGUCAGCGGUAAAAGCCCGGGGCUCAACCCCGGCGAGCCGUUGAAACUGCAGUGCUAGAGAAGGCGAGAGGUACGCGGAAUGCGCAGUGUAGCGGUGAAAUGCUUAGAUAUUGCGCAGAACUCCGAUUGCGAAGGCAGCGUACUGGCGCCUGACUGACGCUGAGGCACGAAAGCGUGGGGAUCGAACAGGAUUAGAUACCC